RNAcentral lists this ribosomal RNA (429 nucleotides) under Enterobacter sp. Its description in RNAcentral is "bacterial SSU rRNA". It matches the Rfam family "Bacterial small subunit ribosomal RNA", at positions 355 to 776 of the family's 1533-position model. The record is from RNAcentral. Lineage: Bacteria; Pseudomonadati; Pseudomonadota; Gammaproteobacteria; Enterobacterales; Enterobacteriaceae.
UGGGGAAUAUUGCACAAUGGGCGCAAGCCUGAUGCAGCCAUGCCGCGUGUAUGAAGAAGGCCUUCGGGUUGUAAGGUACUUUCAGCGGGGAGGAAGGCGACAGGGUUAAUAACCCUGUCGAUUGACGUUACCCGCAGAAGAAGCACCGGCUAACUCCGUGCCAGCAGCCGCGGUAAUACGGAGGGUGCAAGCGUUAAUCGGAAUUACUGGGCGUAAAGCGCACGCAGGCGGUCUGUCAAGUCGGAUGCGAAAUCCCCGGGCUCAACCUGGGAACUGCAUCCAAAACUGGCAAGCCAGAGUACGGUAGAGGGUGGUGGAAUUUCCUGUGUAGCGGUGAAAUGCGUAGAGAUCUGGAGGAAUACCGGUGGCGAAGGCGGCCCCCUGGACAAAGACUGACGCUCAGGUGCGAAAGCGUGGGGAGCAAACAGG